RNAcentral lists this non-coding RNA (90 nucleotides) under uncultured Fimbriimonas sp. RNAcentral describes it as "TPP riboswitch (THI element)". It matches the Rfam family "TPP riboswitch aptamer (THI element)", at positions 7 to 92 of the family's 105-position model. Rfam says of the family: Vitamin B(1) in its active form thiamin pyrophosphate (TPP) is an essential coenzyme that is synthesised by coupling of pyrimidine and thiazole moieties in bacteria. The previously detected thiamin-regulatory element, thi box was extended, resulting in a new, highly conserved RNA secondary structure, the THI element, which is widely distributed in eubacteria and also occurs in some archaea. Analysis of operon structures identified a large number of new candidate thiamin-regulated genes, mostly transporters, in various prokaryotic organisms. Lineage: Bacteria; Bacillati; Armatimonadota; Fimbriimonadia; Fimbriimonadales; Fimbriimonadaceae. The record is from RNAcentral.
CGCAAGGGGUGCCUGAAUAGGCUGAGAUGCGGAAUUAGACCGCUAUACCCUUCGAACCUGAUCUGGUUAGUACCAGUGUAGGGAUUGCGU